RNAcentral lists this unclassified non-coding RNA (33 nucleotides) under Sorangium cellulosum So ce56. RNAcentral describes it as "sce_Cardiovirus_CRE_5". The record is from RNAcentral. Lineage: Bacteria; Pseudomonadati; Myxococcota; Polyangiales; Polyangiaceae.
CGGAACGCCUGUCUGGGGUUGAUCGGGUGGAUG